RNAcentral lists this ribosomal RNA (1018 nucleotides) under uncultured bacterium. Its description in RNAcentral is "bacterial SSU rRNA". It matches the Rfam family "Bacterial small subunit ribosomal RNA", at positions 357 to 1376 of the family's 1533-position model. The record is from RNAcentral.
AGGAAUAUUGGUCAAUGGACGAGAGUCUGAACCAGCCAAGUAGCGUGAAGGAUGACUGCCCUAUGGGUUGUAAACUUCUUUUAUACGGGAAUAAAGUGAGGCACGUGUGCCUUUUUGUAUGUACCGUAUGAAUAAGGAUCGGCUAACUCCGUGCCAGCAGCCGCGGUAAUACGGAGGAUCCGAGCGUUAUCCGGAUUUAUUGGGUUUAAAGGGUGCGUAGGUGGUGAUUUAAGUCAGCGGUGAAAGUUUGUGGCUCAACCAUAAAAUUGCCGUUGAAACUGGGUUACUUGAGUGUGUUUGAGGUAGGCGGAAUGCGUGGUGUAGCGGUGAAAUGCAUAGAUAUCACGCAGAACUCCGAUUGCGAAGGCAGCUUACUAAACCAUAACUGACACUGAAGCACGAAAGCGUGGGGAUCAAACAGGAUUAGAUACCCUGGUAGUCCACGCAGUAAACGAUGAUUACUAGGAGUUUGCGAUACAAUGUAAGCUCUACAGCGAAAGCGUUAAGUAAUCCACCUGGGGAGUACGCCGGCAACGGUGAAACUCAAAGGAAUUGACGGGGGCCCGCACAAGCGGAGGAACAUGUGGUUUAAUUCGAUGAUACGCGAGGAACCUUACCCGGGUUUGAACGUAGUCUGACCGGAGUGGAAACACUCUUUCUAGCAAUAGCAGAUUACGAGGUGCUGCAUGGUUGUCGUCAGCUCGUGCCGUGAGGUGUCGGCUUAAGUGCCAUAACGAGCGCAACCCUUAUCACUAGUUACUAACAGGUGAAGCUGAGGACUCUGGUGAGACUGCCAGCGUAAGCUGUGAGGAAGGUGGGGAUGACGUCAAAUCAGCACGGCCCUUACAUCCGGGGCGACACACGUGUUACAAUGGCAUGGACAAAGGGCAGCUACCUGGUGACAGGAUGCUAAUCUCCAAACCAUGUCUCAGUUCGGAUCGGAGUCUGCAACUCGACUCCGUGAAGCUGGAUUCGCUAGUAAUCGCGCAUCAGCCAUGGCGCGGUGAAUACGUUCCCG